GGGUUGUGAGGUUAAGCGAACAAGCGUACACGGUGGAUGCCCUGGCAGUCAGAGGCGAUGAAGGACGUGCUAAUCUGCGAAAAGCGCCGGUAAGGUGAUAUGAACCGUUAUAACCGGCGAUGUCCGAAUGGGGAAACCCGGUGCACUUCGGUGCAUCAUCGUUAGCUGAAUACAUAGGCUAACGAGGCGAACCGGGGGAACUGAAACAUCUAAGUACCCCGAGGAAAAGAAAUCAACCGAGAUUCCCCCAGUAGCGGCGAGCGAACGGGGAACAGCCCAGAGCCUGAAUCAGCUUGUGUGUCAGUGGAACGGUCUGGAAAGGCCGGCGAUACAGGGUGACAGCCCCGUACACGAAGGCACACAGGCUGUGAGCUCGAUGAGUAGGGCGGGACACGUGAUAUCCUGUCUGAAGAUGGGGGGACCAUCCUCCAAGGCUAAAUACUCCUGACUGACCGAUAGUGAACCAGUACCGUGAGGGAAAGGCGAAAAGAACCCCGGCGAGGGGAGUGAAACAGAACCUGAAACCGUGUACGUACAAGCAGUGGGAGCCUUCGUAAGAGGGUGACUGCGUACCUUUUGUAUAAUGGGUCAGCGACUUAUAUUCUGUAGCAAGGUUAACCGUAUAGGGGAGCCGAAGGGAAACCGAGUCUUAACCGGGCGUUAAGUUGCAGGGUAUAGACCCGAAACCCGGUGAUCUAGCCAUGGGCAGGUUGAAGGUUGGGUAACACUAACUGGAGGACCGAACCGACUAAUGUUGAAAAAUUAGCGGAUGACCUGUGGCUGGGGGUGAAAGGCCAAUCAAACCGGGAGAUAGCUGGUUCUCCCCGAAAGCUAUUUAGGUAGCGCCUCGUGAACUCAUCUCCGGGGGUAGAGCACUGUUUCGGCUAGGGGGCCAUCCCGGCUUACCAACCCGAUGCAAACUGCGAAUACCGGAGAAUGUUAUCACGGGAGACACACGGCGGGUGCUAACGUCCGUCGUGAAGAGGGAAACAACCCAGACCGCCAGCUAAGGUCCCAAAGUCAUGGUUAAGUGGGAAACGAUGUGGGAAGGCCCAGACAGCCAGGAUGUUGGCUUAGAAGCAGCCAUCAUUUAAAGAAAGCGUAAUAGCUCACUGGUCGAGUCGGCCUGCGCGGAAGAUGUAACGGGGCUAAACCAUGCACCGAAGCUGCGGCAGCGACACUCUGUGUUGUUGGGUAGGGGAGCGUUCUGUAAGCCUGCGAAGGUGUGCUGUGAGGCAUGCUGGAGGUAUCAGAAGUGCGAAUGCUGACAUAAGUAACGAUAAAGCGGGUGAAAAGCCCGCUCGCCGGAAGACCAAGGGUUCCUGUCCAACGUUAAUCGGGGCAGGGUGAGUCGACCCCUAAGGCGAGGCCGAAAGGCGUAGUCGAUGGGAAACAGGUUAAUAUUCCUGUACUUGGUGUUACUGCGAAGGGGGGACGGAGAAGGCUAUGUCGGCCGGGCGACGGUUGUCCCGGUUUAAGCGUGUAGGCUGACUUUCCAGGCAAAUCCGGAAAGUUAAGGCUGAGGCGUGAUGACGAGGCACCACGGUGCUGAAGUGACAAAUGCCCUGCUUCCAGGAAAAGCCUCUAAGCAUCAGGUAACAUCAAAUCGUACCCCAAACCGACACAGGUGGUCAGGUAGAGAAUACCAAGGCGCUUGAGAGAACUCGGGUGAAGGAACUAGGCAAAAUGGUGCCGUAACUUCGGGAGAAGGCACGCUGACAUGUAGGUGAAGCCCCUGCGGGUGGAGCUGAAGUCAGUCGAAGAUACCAGCUGGCUGCAACUGUUUAUUAAAAACACAGCACUGUGCAAACACGAAAGUGGACGUAUACGGUGUGACGCCUGCCCGGUGCCGGAAGGUUAAUUGAUGGGGUUAUCGCAAGAGAAGCUCCUGAUCGAAGCCCCGGUAAACGGCGGCCGUAACUAUAACGGUCCUAAGGUAGCGAAAUUCCUUGUCGGGUAAGUUCCGACCUGCACGAAUGGCGUAAUGAUGGCCAGGCUGUCUCCACCCGAGACUCAGUGAAAUUGAACUCGCUGUGAAGAUGCAGUGUACCCGCGGCAAGACGGAAAGACCCCGUGAACCUUUACUACAGCUUGACACUGAACAUUGAGCCUUGAUGUGUAGGAUAGGUGGGAGGCUUUGAAGCGUGGACGCCAGUCUGCGUGGAGCCGACCUUGAAAUACCACCCUUUAAUGUUUGAUGUUCUAACCUGGCGCCGUAAUCCGGCGUGGGGACAGUGUCUGGUGGGUAGUUUGACUGGGGCGGUCUCCUCCCAAAGUGUAACGGAGGAGCACGAAGGUCAGCUAAUCCUGGUCGGACAUCAGGAGGUUAGUGCAAUGGCAUAAGCUGGCUUGACUGCGAGAGUGACGGCUCGAGCAGGUGCGAAAGCAGGUCAUAGUGAUCCGGUGGUUCUGUAUGGAAGGGCCAUCGCUCAACGGAUAAAAGGUACUCCGGGGAUAACAGGCUGAUACCGCCCAAGAGUUCAUAUCGACGGCGGUGUUUGGCACCUCGAUGUCGGCUCAUCACAUCCUGGGGCUGAAGUAGGUCCCAAGGGUAUGGCUGUUCGCCAUUUAAAGUGGUACGCGAGCUGGGUUUAGAACGUCGUGAGACAGUUCGGUCCCUAUCUGCCGUGGGCGCUGGAGAAUUGAGGGGGGCUGCUCCCAGUACGAGAGGACCGGAGUGGACGCAUCACUGGUGUUCGGGUUGUCAUGCCAAUGGCACUGCCCGGUAGCUAAAUGCGGAAGAGAUAAGUGCUGAAAGCAUCUAAGCACGAAACUUGCCCCGAGAUGAGUUCUCCCUGAGACUAUAAGUCUCCUGAAGGAACGUUGAAGACGACGACGUUGAUAGGCCGGGUGUGUAAGCGCAGCGAUGCGUUGAGCUAACCGGUACUAAUGAACCGUGAGGCUUAACCUUACAACGCCAAAGAAGU
Molecule: ribosomal RNA, 2927 nt
Filed under: Cronobacter sakazakii
Lineage: Bacteria; Pseudomonadati; Pseudomonadota; Gammaproteobacteria; Enterobacterales; Enterobacteriaceae
Description: bacterial LSU rRNA
Rfam family: Bacterial large subunit ribosomal RNA
Source: RNAcentral